UACGUAGGGUGCAAGCGUUAAUCGGAAUUACUGGGCGUAAAGCGUGCGCAGGCGGUGAUGUAAGACAGGUGUGAAAUCCCCGGGCUUAACCUGGGAACUGGCAUUUGUGACUGCAUCGCUGGAGUGCGGCAGAGGGGGAUGGAAUUCCGCGUGUAGCAGUGAAAUGCGUAGAUAUGCGGAGGAACACCGAUGGCGAAGGCAAUCCCCUGGGCC
This 213-nucleotide ribosomal RNA is filed under the name uncultured bacterium. Its description in RNAcentral is "partial 16S ribosomal RNA". It matches the Rfam family "Bacterial small subunit ribosomal RNA", at positions 524 to 735 of the family's 1533-position model. The record is from RNAcentral.